AGCCAUAGCCAUAUCAACCCUGCAUCCCAAGACUGUUUGCCCACUGAAGCUAAGCAGGGUUAAGCCUGGUCAGUACCUGGAUGGGAGACCUCCUGGGAAAACUAGGUUGCUGUUGGAA
RNAcentral lists this ribosomal RNA (118 nucleotides) under Sinocyclocheilus anshuiensis. The record is from RNAcentral. Lineage: Eukaryota; Metazoa; Chordata; Actinopteri; Cypriniformes; Cyprinidae.